Molecule: small nucleolar RNA, 100 nt
Organism: Lemur catta (Ring-tailed lemur)
Lineage: Eukaryota; Metazoa; Chordata; Mammalia; Primates; Lemuridae
Product: small nucleolar RNA U13
Exons: 1
Source: RefSeq, a predicted model, not a curated record
AUCCUUUUGUACUUCUUAAGUGUGAUGACUAGGUUUUCAUGCUCAUGUGGGAGAUGUGCCUCCCUCAAACCUUCUUACAACACCAGCUCAUUACUUGACA